AUUUAUAUAUACUAGAACACACCCGUGAUAUCGCGGGUCUGUGACUGAAUUAAAGAAUAUAACUAUGCGUAAGCCUUAUUUUAGUAUUGGUAUUGUCAUCUGAUAAAGUCAUGCCGAUUAUAAGAUGCACAGUUUUCUCUGCUUUCAACAUCUUUCUGUUUGAACCCGUCGACCUGGAACUUAUCAAUUAUUGGUAUUAUUAAUUUUAUUUGGAAAACAAAAGGGCCUGGAAAGGUUUUUUUUUAAUCAACAGCAUUGUCCUUUAUGAGUUAUAAAUAAAGUUGAAUUCUUGGAUUCGCUGUUUUACGUCAUUCCGGCUAACAAAU
This 326-nucleotide long non-coding RNA is filed under the name Mytilus galloprovincialis (Mediterranean mussel). The record is from RNAcentral. Lineage: Eukaryota; Metazoa; Mollusca; Bivalvia; Mytilida; Mytilidae.